GAAAUGCGAUACUUGGUGUGAAUUGCAGAAUUCAGUGAAUCAUCAAAUCUUUGAACGCAUCUGGCGCUUAUGGGUAACCCUGUAAGCACACUUUUUUGAGGGUCAGUUCAUCUCAUCUCGAGUUCGUAGCUCGGACACCAGCAGUUGAGUUCACUCUACUGUGCGUAAAAGAAGCGGGCCCACAAAGCCUCUUUUUUUUUUUGAACUGUCUGAUGCCAGUUCCUUGCAUGAUAAUAGACUUCAUGUCUUUCCUUCUAGCAUGGAAUCGGAUAAGGACGUUCUUCCAAAUAAAAAAGGAACUCAUCUUGUUUUUGACCUCAGAUAAAGUGAGAGAACCCGCCGAAUUUAA
Molecule: unclassified non-coding RNA, 349 nt
Filed under: uncultured fungus
Lineage: Eukaryota; Fungi
Description: sequence contains ITS1
Rfam family: 5.8S ribosomal RNA (bases 1-105)
Source: RNAcentral